GCAUGUCUUCGCCUCCCGGCUUUUGUCCUACCACUACUUCUGCUCUUUGCCUUCUCACUUAUGAGCACCAAAACAAUGGUUGCAGGGGCUCGCUUUCUUCUCGAGACUUCCUUGCCUCAAGUGCCCGAGCUUCCAAAGCCUGAGCUGCCACAAUUGCCCAAGCCUGAGCUUCCACAUUUGCCAAAGCCUGAGCUGCCACAAGUGCCUAAGCCUGAGCUUCCACAACUUCCUAAGCCUGAGCUUCCACAGUUGCCAAAGCCCGAGCUGCCACCGCUUCCUAAGCCUGAGCUACCGCAGUUUCCAAAGCCUGAGCUACCGCAGUUUCCAAAGCCUGAGCUGCCACCAUUGGCUAAACCCGAAAUACCAUCAGCACCUCAUGUCCCAACUUUGCCAAAGGAAGGCCAUAAGUUGGCUGAAAUACCACAUGCCCCAACCUUGCAUGAGUUACCUCAACUUCCAAAGCCUGAAUUGCCACCACUUCCCGCUUUCCCAACUUUGCCGAAGCCCGAGCUGCCAGCGGUGCCCAAUGUCCCUACUUUACCAAAGCCUGAAGUGCCAAAGUUGCCUGAAAUUCCACCUCUACCACAUCUCCCAGCUGAGCUACCUAAACCCACAUUGCCCUCC
Molecule: long non-coding RNA, 624 nt
Filed under: Prunus persica (peach)
Lineage: Eukaryota; Viridiplantae; Streptophyta; Magnoliopsida; Rosales; Rosaceae
Description: long non-coding RNA (PPER_LNC008210)
Source: RNAcentral